Molecule: ribosomal RNA, 468 nt
Filed under: uncultured bacterium
Lineage: Bacteria
Description: partial 16S ribosomal RNA
Rfam family: Bacterial small subunit ribosomal RNA
Source: RNAcentral
GACGAACGCUGGCGGCGUGCUUAACACAUGCAAGUCGAGCGGAAAGGCCCUGCAUUUGUGGGGAGCUCGAGUGGCGAACGGGUGAGUAACACGUGAGUAACCUGUGCUUUACUGUGGGAUAACUUCAUUGAACUGGAGCUAUAAUCGCGUAUGAGCACUUGCUGCAUGGUUGUGGUUGGAAAGAGUCGGCGUUUGGGGACGCACUCGCGGCUUAUCAGUGUGUUGGUGGGGUAGUGGAUUACCAGGGCUUUGACGGGUAGCCGGCUUGAGAGGGUGACAGGCCACAUUGGGACUGAGAUGCGGCCCAGACUCCUUCGGGAGGCAGCAGUGGGGAAUAUUGCACAAUGGGCGGAAGCCUGAUGCAGCAACGCCGCGUGCGGGAUGACGGCCUUCGGGUUGUAACCCGUUUUAGCCUGUGACGAAGCGUGAGUGACGGUAAUGGGUAAAAAAGCACCGGCUAACUACGUG